RNAcentral lists this ribosomal RNA (311 nucleotides) under Pantoea sp. CC20. RNAcentral's name for it is "bacterial SSU rRNA". It matches the Rfam family "Bacterial small subunit ribosomal RNA", at positions 50 to 357 of the family's 1533-position model. Lineage: Bacteria; Pseudomonadati; Pseudomonadota; Gammaproteobacteria; Enterobacterales; Erwiniaceae. The record is from RNAcentral.
AACACAUGCAAGUCGAACGGCAGCACAGAAGAGCUUGCUCUUUGGGUGGCGAGUGGCGGACGGGUGAGUAAUGUCUGGGAAACUGCCCGAUGGAGGGGGAUAACUACUGGAAACGGUAGCUAAUACCGCAUAACGUCGCAAGACCAAAGUGGGGGACCUUCGGGCCUCACACCAUCGGAUGUGCCCAGAUGGGAUUAGCUAGUAGGUGGGGUAAUGGCUCACCUAGGCGACGAUCCCUAGCUGGUCUGAGAGGAUGACCAGCCACACUGGAACUGAAACACGGUCCAGACUCCUACGGGAGGCAGCAGUGG